RNAcentral lists this ribosomal RNA (460 nucleotides) under uncultured bacterium. RNAcentral describes it as "partial 16S ribosomal RNA". It matches the Rfam family "Bacterial small subunit ribosomal RNA", at positions 338 to 795 of the family's 1533-position model. The record is from RNAcentral.
CCUACGGGAGGCAGCAGUGAGGAAUAUUGGUCAAUGGGCGCGAGCCUGAACCAGCCAAGUAGCGUGAAGGAUGACUGCCCUACGGGUUGUACACUUCUUUUAUAAUGGAAUAAAGUGAGGCACUUGUGCCUUUUUUUAUGUACUUUAUGAAUAAGGUUCGGCUAACUCCGUUCCAGCAGCCGCGUUAAUACGGAGGAUCCGAGAGUUAUCCGGAUUGAUUGGGUUUAAGGGGCGCGUAGAUGGGUUGUAAAGUUAGUUGUGAACGUUUGCGGCUCAACCGUAAAAGUGAAAUUGAUACUGGCAGUCUUGAGUACAGUAGAGGUAGGCGGAAUUCGUGGUGUAGCGGUGAAAUGCUUAGAUAUCACGAAGAACUCCGAUGGCGAAGGCAGCUUACUAAACUGCCACUGACAUUGAUGCUCGAAAGUGUGGGUAUCAAACAGGAUUAGAUACCCCUGUAGUC